This 250-nucleotide ribosomal RNA is filed under the name uncultured bacterium. Its description in RNAcentral is "partial 16S ribosomal RNA". It matches the Rfam family "Bacterial small subunit ribosomal RNA", at positions 524 to 773 of the family's 1533-position model. The record is from RNAcentral.
UACGGAGGAUCCAAGGGUUAUCCGGAAUCAUUGGGUUUAAAGGGUCCGUAGGCGGUCUGGUAAGUCAGUGGUGAAGGCCCAUCGCUCAACGGUGGAACGGCCAUUGAUACUGCCAGACUUGAAUUACUGGGAAGUAACUAGAAUAUGUAGUGUAGCGGUGAAAUGCUUAGAGAUUACAUGGAAUACCAAUUGCGAAGGCAGGUUACUACCAGUUUAUUGACGCUGAUGGACGAAAGCGUGGGUAGCGAAC